UCAGUCCCACUUGCCUGCCCAGUGCCCGGCGCACUUCCUCAGGGGCACACAGCCCGGGUCUUCUCAAGUCAUGUUCGAUAUCUAGUUAAGGGGUACAUUUAUCUCCAGUGUUCCCCGGGACCUUCCCUUUUGAUUUUCAAGAACAUUUUCUUCCCUCUGCCAGAGCAGUCCUUUCGAAUCAAAGGCUCGGCUUUUCCAAAGCGUAGUUUCUGAUGUGGGCUUCAGUGGACUGGCUGCGAAGUUCCUGAGACAAUGAGAGGGGAUGCUGGCUGUCUCUUUCUCUUUAUCUUCUCGCAGUAAAGCUCCAGUUCUCCUUGAGGUGACCCUUCACUUGUUGUGUGAAGUCAACAAAACUGACCAGCACACCAUCUGAAUGCUACAGCGGGAUGGAGAUGGGAGGCGAAGCCUUGGAAGCUGGAGGGUGAAUAGCUGGUGUGCACAACCCCCUAGCAACGGGCAAACAAGGAGGAGUGUGGAAUGGGAGUCAGUGCUUAAUGGGCACUAAGUUUCCAUUUGGUUGUAGAGACGAUGGUGCUGAUGGCUAUAAGGCGUCUUGAAAGUGCUGAAUGCCACCAAACUGCACAAUUGAAACAGUUAAGAUGGUGAAUGUUGUGUGUGUUUUCCUGCCGCUGAAUACUGUAUUUUUUUUUUCUGGUAUGUUUUAUUCUUGUGUAAUCAGCUUUGUGGUUUUUUUUCCCCUUCCAGAUUAACUCGAGAAUCAACUUGUCACAUUCUAUUAAAAGUCCCUUUGAUAUUUUUACUGCAGUUACAUCAAGUUUAUGGAUUGCCUUGGGGAGAAGUGACAUUUUUAUGGUCCUGAUCUUUCCCCCAGGUGGAGGCCUCCUCAUUGACUGGGAUCUCUUUAUGUCUCUCAGUAAAGUUGUAUAAUUCCAUUUC
This 897-nucleotide long non-coding RNA is filed under the name Mus musculus (house mouse). RNAcentral describes it as "RIKEN cDNA E330017L17 gene". Lineage: Eukaryota; Metazoa; Chordata; Mammalia; Rodentia; Muridae. The record is from RNAcentral.